CAGUAGCCGCGGUAAUACGAAGGGGGCUAGCGUUGCUCGGAAUGACUGGGCGUAAAGGGCGCGUAGGCGGUUUUGACAGUCAGAUGUGAAAUUCCUGGGCUUAACCUGGGGGCUGCAUUUGAGACGUCAAGACUAGAGUGUGAGAGAGGGUUGUGGAAUUCCCAGUGUAGAGGUGAAAUUCGUAGAUAUUGGGAAGAACACCGGUGGCGAAGGCGGCAACCUGGCUCAUUACUGACGCUGAGGCGCGAAAGCGUGGGGAGCAAACAGGAUUAGAGACCCCAGUAGUCCCUGUCUCUUAUAA
Molecule: ribosomal RNA, 301 nt
Filed under: uncultured bacterium
Lineage: Bacteria
Description: partial 16S ribosomal RNA
Rfam family: Bacterial small subunit ribosomal RNA
Source: RNAcentral